Molecule: unclassified non-coding RNA, 304 nt
Filed under: uncultured Hypholoma
Lineage: Eukaryota; Fungi; Basidiomycota; Agaricomycetes; Agaricales; Strophariaceae
Description: partial contains 5.8S ribosomal RNA, internal transcribed spacer 2, and large subunit ribosomal RNA
Rfam family: 5.8S ribosomal RNA (bases 1-52)
Source: RNAcentral
AACGCACCUUGCGCUCCUUGGUAUUCCGAGGAGCAUGCCUGUUUGAGUGUCAUUAAAUUCUCAACCCUUGUUAACUUUUUAGUUAGUAAGUGGAUUGGAAGUGGGGGUAUGUUGGUUUCUUCAUUGAAAUGAACUCCCCUGAAAUGCAUUAGCUGGUUGCCUUGUGCAAACAUGUCUAUUGGUGUGAUAAUUAUCUACGCCGUGGGCUAUUUGCCGUUUAUAGCACUGCUUAUAAUCGUCUGUUCAUUCAGACAAUACAUGACAAUUUGACCUCAAAUCAGGUAGGACUACCCGCUGAACUUAA